This 2395-nucleotide small RNA is filed under the name Pongo abelii (Sumatran orangutan). RNAcentral describes it as "processed transcript". Lineage: Eukaryota; Metazoa; Chordata; Mammalia; Primates; Hominidae. The record is from RNAcentral.
UAACCAGGACAUGCCCUGAGCUGUGUUGUCUCGGGGUGUGCUCCAGAGAUACAGAAACAGAUCACUAACUCGCGUUUUUUAUUAAAACCAAUUAAUUGUGAAAUGCAUAUCGAUCGUUAAGAGUUUGUAUAAUUUAGAAAAGUAUAGUCAAGACGAUAAAAAGCACCCAUAAUUCUCCCAUCCGGAAAUAAUGAUCAGUGUUAACAUUUUUUUUUCCUUGCAGAGCCACCCAAGAAUGCACUGGUAUUAAUAUUUAAUACUCUUUCCAAUCUGUUUUUUUUCCUCUCUCUCUCUCAGAUUGUGAACAACUUUUUAUGGACUUUUAUUCCCUGUUCUUUUCAACUCAUUAUGACAUUGUGGGCAUUCACCCAUAUUGUGGAAUAUUUUUCAGAAAGCCUUCUUAAUGGCUGCAUAAUAUUCCACCAGAUGUGUGUAUCGUAAUUUGUUAACAAAUCCCCUAUUUUGGGACAUGUAGGUGAUUUUGUAAAUUUUUACUAUCAAAUAAGGCUGCAGUGGAUAUUCUCUUAAAUUUAUCUUUAGCUGCACUUUCCAUGAUGAGAAUAUCUUAGAAAUGAGAUUUCCAGGCCAAGAUAAUGCCAAAUGGCUUUACAGGAAAGUGGGAAAGUGUACCACUUCACCACCAGCGCACCCUUCUUCCAGCAUCUGCGGUGCUUGUCGAGCCCUGUCUUAUGUUUAUAGGCUUUUCCAGCCGGCUUGCCUACCCACCCUUCAAAUCCCACCCUUGCACUAAUGUUGCAAUCCGCAUACCUGAGAGGUUUCCUCCUUAUCUCUGAAUUAUGCCAUUUCUCUCUCUUCCUCUCCUUUUUUUUGGUUUUGCUCAGUGCUGUGGCCUUGCUGGUGGGAGAGAAGGUACAAGAGGAGACCACUCUAGUGGUAAGUUAUGGCGUCUUCCCUGGGUAGUUAUGGCAGCCCUCCCUGCAGUGCUCUUCAGUGAGUGAGCGUGCUUUACAAAAAAAAAAAAAUUCCACUACCAUUUAUUUAGAUGCUUCCUCUUAACUGUGUUUGCUUUCCGCAGGAUGAUCCCUUUCAGAUGAAGACAGGGGGUAUGGUGGAUAUGAAGAAACUGAAGGAAAGGGGCAAAGAUAAGAUCAGUGAGGAGGAGGACCUGCACCUGGGGACAUCGUUUUCUGCAGAAACCAAUCGAAGGGAUGAGGAUGCAGACAUGAUGAAGUACAUUGAGACAGAGCUAAAGAAGAGGAAAGGGAUCGUGGAACAUGAGGAACAGAAAGUUAAGCCAAAGAAUGCAGAGGACUGUCUUUAUGAACUUCCAGAAAACAUCCGUGUUUCCUCAGCAAAGAAGACCGAGGAGAUGCUUUCCAACCAGAUGCUGAGUGGCAUUCCUGAGGUGGACCUGGGCAUCGAUGCUAAAAUAAAAAAUAUCAUUUCCACGGAGGAUGCCAAGGCCCGUCUGCUGGCAGAGCAGCAGAACAAGAAGAAAGACAGCGAGACCUCCUUCGUGCCUACCAACAUGGCUGUGAAUUACGUACAGCACAACAGAUUUUAUCAUGAGGAGCUCAACGCGCCCAUACGGAGAAACAAAGAAGAGCCCAAGGCCCGGCCCUUGAGAGUAGGCGACACAGAGAAGCCAGAGCCUGAGCGUGAGUGCAACAAAGGCCUUGGGGCUGCCUGGAGUGCUCAGCAAUGCGGGAACCCAUGGAGGCAGGAUGCAGCGGGGGACAGGGUGGAGCUUGGCAUUGGAGCCGGGGCAUCUGGGUUCCAGUCCAUGUUCUGGACCAUGACUGUGUGCCUUCCCCUUUCUAAGCCUCAGUUUCCUCAUUGGAAUCCUAAUAGAAACUACCUGUUAGGAUUGCUCUGAGAAUUCAUACUCUCAUAUUCUCAAGCACAGUAGAGACUCAAGAAGUUAGAAAAUUUCAGUAAGGACAAAUAAAAGCUACUCAUAAGGUUAGCUGGGUGCAGUGCCUCACACUUGUAGUCUCAGCUGCUGGGGAAGCUGGGGCAGGAGGAUUGCUUGAGACAAAAGAGUUCAGGGCUGCAGUGAGCUAUGAUUGGACCACUGCACUCUAGCCUGCGUGACAGAGUGAGACCACAUCUUUUUUUUGAAGAAAAGAAAAAGGUAUUGGCCAUGCUCGGUGGCCCAUGCCUGUAAUCCCAGCACUUUGGGAGGCUGAGGCAGGCAGAUCACCUAAGGUCAGGAGUUCAAGACCAGCCUGGCCAACAUGGUGAACCCCGUCUCUACUAAAAAUACAAAAAUUAGCCAGGCGAGGUGGCAGGUGCCUGUAAUCCCAGCUACUCAGGAGGCUGAGGCAGGAGAAUCGCUUGAACCCGGGAGUUGGAGGUUGCAGUGAGCUGAGAUCAUGCCAUUACACUCUAGCCUGGGCAACAGGGUGAGACUCUGUCUCAAAAAAAAGAAAAG